RNAcentral lists this ribosomal RNA (279 nucleotides) under uncultured bacterium. RNAcentral's name for it is "partial 16S ribosomal RNA". It matches the Rfam family "Bacterial small subunit ribosomal RNA", at positions 506 to 784 of the family's 1533-position model. The record is from RNAcentral.
UGCCAGCCUCCGCUGUACUACUGAUUUUGCCAUCGUUGCUCGGAAUUACUGGGCGUAAAGCGCACGCAGGCGGUUUAUCAGGUCGGAUGUGAAAGCCCAGGGCUCAACCCUGGAACUGCAUUCGAAACCGGUAGACUUGAGUUCGAGAGAGGGUGGUGGAAUUCCUGGUGUAGAGGUGAAAUUCGUUGAUAUCAGGAGGAACACCGGUGGCGAAGGCGACCACCUGGCUCGAUACUGACGCUCAUGUGCGAAAGCGUGGGGAGCAAACAGGAUUAGAUA